Molecule: long non-coding RNA, 435 nt
Organism: Vidua chalybeata
Lineage: Eukaryota; Metazoa; Chordata; Aves; Passeriformes; Viduidae
Exons: 4
Source: RefSeq, a predicted model, not a curated record
CUCCCACCAUGAAAUGACAGCUUGCUCCAGCCCUCUUGGAACAGAAGCCCUUGAGGCUGGCACCAAGGGAGCUUGAUGAGUGAAUCCUCUGUUUGCUUGGGCUUUGGAGAUUCAACAAGCACCGUGUGCAGUUAGCACAGAGCAGGAUUCCCCCAUCACUCGCUGUUCUGAUCCUGGCCCAGCCAUCAAGGACUGCUCUGCCUCUGUAUACACCACAUGGACGUGGACCAGGGAAGAGCAGCAGAGAUGCUUUGCAGCUGUCACUGGGAGACAAGAGGUGAUAUAUAGCAAAUAUCUGCAACUCCUGGGGUUCUGUUCCCAAAUAUCACAAAAAUAAGAGCCCUAGAUGAAAGCCAAAGAAAAUUAUGCAGAAAAUGAAGAAAUUUGAAGGGGAAGGAGGAGGGAAGUCAGUUGAACAUCACAGAAUCCAUGAAG